Molecule: unclassified non-coding RNA, 223 nt
Filed under: fungal sp.
Lineage: Eukaryota; Fungi
Description: partial internal transcribed spacer region
Rfam family: Eukaryotic small subunit ribosomal RNA (bases 1-46)
Source: RNAcentral
AAGUCGUAACAAGGUUUCCGUAGGUGAACCUGCGGAAGGAUCAUUAUAAAAUUUUUCUUGCAUAUUUUUUUAAAAUGUGUAAAAAAAACCUUGUAUUCAAAACCCACACUCUUUAAAACCAUAAUAAAAAAAUUUUUAUAUGUUUAUAUACAUGAAAUUUUUUUAUUUAAAAAUAAUAUAUAUAAUAAAAAGACAACUUUCAACAACGGAUCUCUUGGCUCUC